GGUUCAGGAUGAACGCUGGCGGCGUGCUUAACACAUGCAAGUCGAACGGACUGCACGGACUGAAAUUUCGGAUGGAUGACCGUGUACGUUAGUGGCGGACGGGUGAGUAACGCGUGGGAAACCUGCCCUAUUCCGGGGGAUACCAGUUGGAAACGACUGUUAAUACCGCAUAAGCGCACACUGCCGCAUGGCAGAGUGUGAAAAACUCCGGUGGAACAGGAUGGUCCCGCGUCUGAUUAGGCAGUUGCGGGGUAACGGCCCACCAAACCGACGAUCAGUAGCCGACCUGAGAGGGUGACCGGCCACAUUGGGACUGAGACACGGCCCAAACUCCUACGGGAGGCAGCAGUGGGGAAUAUUGCACAAUGGGGGAAACCCUGAUGCAGCGACGCCGCCGUGAGUGAAGAAGCAUUUCGGUAUGUAAAGCUCUAUCAGCAGGGAAGAAGAUGACGGUACCUGCACAAGAAGCCCCGGCUAACUGCGUGCCAGCCGCUGC
This 496-nucleotide ribosomal RNA is filed under the name uncultured bacterium. RNAcentral's name for it is "bacterial SSU rRNA". It matches the Rfam family "Bacterial small subunit ribosomal RNA", at positions 21 to 518 of the family's 1533-position model. The record is from RNAcentral.